GAUGAACGCUGGCGGCGUGCCUAAUACAUGCAAGUCGAGCGAACAGACGAGGAGCUUGCUCCUCUGACGUUAGCGGCGGACGGGUGAGUAACACGUGGAUAACCUACCUAUAAGACUGGGAUAACUUCGGGAAACCGGAGCUAAUACCGGAUAAUCUAUUGAACCGCAUGGUUCAAUAGUGAAAGACGGUUUUGCUGUCACUUAUAGAUGGAUCCGCGCCGCAUUAGCUAGUUGGUAAGGUAACGGCUUACCAAGGCAACGAUGCGUAGCCGACCUGAGAGGGUGAUCGGCCACACUGGAACUGAGACACGGUCCAGACUCCUACGGGAGGCAGCAGUAGGGAAUCUUCCGCAAAGGGCGAAAGCCUGACGGAGCAACGCCGCGUGAGUGAUGAAGGUCUUCGGAUCGUAAAACUCUGUUAUUAGGGAAGAACAAAUGUGUAAGUAACUAUGCACGUCUUGACGGUACCUAAUCAGAAAGCCACGGCUAACUACGUG
This 497-nucleotide ribosomal RNA is filed under the name uncultured bacterium. RNAcentral's name for it is "partial 16S ribosomal RNA". It matches the Rfam family "Bacterial small subunit ribosomal RNA", at positions 28 to 507 of the family's 1533-position model. The record is from RNAcentral.